Molecule: non-coding RNA, 1124 nt
Organism: Oryctolagus cuniculus (rabbit)
Lineage: Eukaryota; Metazoa; Chordata; Mammalia; Lagomorpha; Leporidae
Source: RefSeq, a predicted model, not a curated record
AAAUCUUUUAAAAAAAGAUUCUCUCUCUCUGCCUCUCCUCUUUCUGUACAACUCUGACUUUCAAAUAAAUAAAUAUUUUAAAAAAACCAAUUCUAUAAAAUAAUUAGAUCAAUACCAUCCCUUUCUCCCGGCAGACGCAGCCCUGGCCGGGGCCUCCCACAGCCCCGAGGAGUGCACACUGGACCAUCUGAUUCUCCCUUAGCUGCCCACCGGCUGUCGCCUGCCAUCCUGAAGGAUUCCAGCCACUGAUCCACGCAAAGCCCCUUUGGUAAUCCAGAGCUACUGCCUCUUUCAUUUCUCUGCUGCUACCAAUAAAGGCAGAGCCAACUCAAUUCAGCCAAGAUUCACAGAGCACCGACAAGUGUAAAAGACUUGUGCCAGCUUUGUCUCCACAGGUGGAUCCAACAGAUACGUCUGCUUAUUCCUGUGAGCCAACUGAAGAUCUAAAAUACCUCUUCAAAAGGCAGAAGGAUAAGUAGAACUCUUGUCCUCGCCAUGUCGAAAUUCUGCAAUUCAGUGCCCACCUGAACCCAGCAACUUCUGAGAAUACUGAUGACCAUGCAGGGGACACAGACGAUGGUGGUGACUGAAAGAGCUCCAGCUCAUGAAACAAACUCAUUAGACGAGAUAGGCAGAGACUUCCAGACCGAGAACAGGCGGGGUCUGUGCCUCUAAUAAGCAGGAAGCAGCUACAGAAGAUGGUGACUCGACGCCCAUCAACAUCCCCUUAAGAUUAAGGUCUGGAGUCUCUGAGGGGGGAAUGAAGUAGACAGGCUAAAACCGAUUAGGUUUGUGAGCUGGAAGACCACGCCUUUGCCAUGCCCCUGUGUGACCUCACACCCUACCUGAUACCCUCACCAUGUCCCCGUGUGACAUCAUGCUCCCCCUGGCCAUACCUGAGCACCCACCUGCCCACAAGCCACGCCCCUGUGAGAAAUAUAUAAAAGGCAAGGAGCGUCCCAAAAGGCUCUCUGCCUCUGCUUUGCUGCCGGUGAUAAGCGGUGGAUAGCAGCUCAAGGCACUUGCUGCACGUGGCUUCUGGCCUGCUCUCUGCUUGGUAUGGACGCAAUCUUAGUUUCCAGAUUUCCCCUCUCUAAACUGAACUAAAGCCCUCACUUUCCUAC